RNAcentral lists this ribosomal RNA (433 nucleotides) under uncultured bacterium. RNAcentral's name for it is "partial 16S ribosomal RNA". It matches the Rfam family "Bacterial small subunit ribosomal RNA", at positions 29 to 507 of the family's 1533-position model. The record is from RNAcentral.
AACGAACGCUGGCGGCAUGCCUAACACAUGCAAGUCGAACGAGACCUUCGGGUCUAGUGGCGCACGGGUGCGUAACGCGUGGGAACCUGCCCUUAGGUUCGGAAUAACUCCCCGAAAGGGGUGCUAAUACCGGAUAAUGUCUUCGGACCAAAGAUUUAUCGCCUUAGGAUGGGCCCGCGUUGGAUUAGCUAGUUGGUAGGGUAAAAGCCUACCAAGGCGACGAUCCAUAGCUGGUCUGAGAGGAUGAUCAGCCACACUGGGAGUGAGACACGGCCCAGACUCCUACGGGAGGCAGCGGUGGGGAAUAUUGGACAAUGGGCGAAAGCGUGAUCCAGCAAUGCCGCGUGAGUGAUGAAGGCCUGAGGGUUGUAAAGCUCUUUUACCCGGGAUGAUAAUGACAGUACCGGGAGAAUAAGCUCCGGCUAACUCCGUG